Molecule: RNase P RNA, 393 nt
Filed under: Limimaricola hongkongensis DSM 17492
Lineage: Bacteria; Pseudomonadati; Pseudomonadota; Alphaproteobacteria; Rhodobacterales; Paracoccaceae
Description: Loktanella hongkongensis DSM 17492 Bacterial RNase P class A
Rfam family: Bacterial RNase P class A
About the family: Ribonuclease P (RNase P) is a ubiquitous endoribonuclease, found in archaea, bacteria and eukarya as well as chloroplasts and mitochondria. Its best characterised activity is the generation of mature 5'-ends of tRNAs by cleaving the 5'-leader elements of precursor-tRNAs.
Source: Rfam by way of RNAcentral
GCGGAUGGCUGGAUGGCCGCGGGCCUUCGGGCUCGAGGAAAGUCCGGACUCCACAAGGCACGGUGCCGGGUAACGCCCGGCCGGGGCAACCCGAGGGAAAGCGCCACAGAGAACAGACCGCCUUGGUUCGCCAAGGUCAGGGUGAAACGGUGGGGUAAGAGCCCACCGCGGGACGGGCAACCGGACCGGCACGGCAAGCCCCACCGGGAGCAAUGCCAAAUAGGGACCUCGCGCGGGUGCUGAUCCGGUUCGCCGGAUAUCGCCGCAGGGACGCCUGACCCCGAGAGGUCCGGGUUGGCAGCUUCAGACGCCGUGGCAACACGGUGUCGAGAUGAAUGGUCAUCGCCGGGGGCAACCCCGGGACAGAAUCCGGCUUACAGGCCAUCCGCGCAA